Molecule: long non-coding RNA, 282 nt
Filed under: Salmo trutta (river trout)
Lineage: Eukaryota; Metazoa; Chordata; Actinopteri; Salmoniformes; Salmonidae
Description: lncRNA (ENSSTUG00000043948.1)
Source: RNAcentral
AUGACCUGCUUUGCUAGAGGCACUGAUAAGCUUUUAAAACGUAUAUUUGAGUCAUCUGUCUUGUAUGUUUGUCUGAUUGAGAUAUUUUCCCACCAUAGGGCCCAAGAGGAGCUAAGGGGCCUCGAGGUGACAGGGGUCCCCAAGGUCCUAAUGGAAGAGAUGGUAAACAUGGACUCCCCGGGGUUGCCGGCCCCCCUGGUCCCCCAGGACUUGGAGGAAACUUUGCUGCUCAGUUUGAUGGAGGAAAGGGCAGUGACCCCGGACCUGGACCAAUGGGUUUAA